RNAcentral lists this ribosomal RNA (460 nucleotides) under uncultured bacterium. RNAcentral's name for it is "partial 16S ribosomal RNA". It matches the Rfam family "Bacterial small subunit ribosomal RNA", at positions 338 to 795 of the family's 1533-position model. The record is from RNAcentral.
CCUACGGGAGGCAGCAGUGAGGAAUAUUGGUCAAUGGCCGGAAGGCUGAACCAGCCAAGCCGCGUGAAGGACGAAGGUGCCAAGCAUUGUAAACUUCUUUUGUCAAGGGACAAAAUCAGGCUCGAGAGCCUGACCGAGGGUACCUGAAGAAAAAGCAUCGGCUAACUCCGUGCCAGCAGCCGCGGUAAUACGGAGGAUCCGAGCGUUAUCCGGAUUUAUUGGGUUUAAAGGGUUCGUAGGCGGCAUGUAAAGUCAGGUGUUAAAGGCGCAGGCUCAACCUGUGUCUGGCACUUGAUACUUGCAGGCUGGAAUGCGGUAGAGGUAAAGGGAAUUCGUGGUGUAGCGGUGAAAUGCUUAGAUAUCGGGAGGAACAUCGAUGGCGUAGGCGGUUUGCUGGGCCGUAAUUGACGCUGAGGAACGAAAGCCAGGGUAGCGAAUGGGAUUAGAUACCCCUGUAGUC